Molecule: ribosomal RNA, 397 nt
Filed under: uncultured bacterium
Lineage: Bacteria
Description: partial 16S ribosomal RNA
Rfam family: Bacterial small subunit ribosomal RNA
Source: RNAcentral
AUACGUAGGGGGCGAGCGUUGUCCGGAAUGAUUGGGCGUAAAGGGCGCGUAGGCGGCCCGGUAAGUCUGGAGUGAAAGUCCUGUUUUUAAGAUGGGAAUUGCUUUGGAUACUGUCGGGCUUGAGUGCAGGAGAGGUAAGUGGAAUUCCCAGUGUCGCGGUGAAAUGCGUAUAGAUUUGGAGGAACACCAGUGGCGAAGGCGACUUAAUGGACUGUAACCGCCGCUGACGCGCGAAAGUGUUGGGAGGAGACAGGAUUAGAUACCCUGGUAGUCCUCACUGUAAACGAUGAAUGCUAGGUGUAGGCGGUAUCGACCCUUUCUGUGCCGCAGUCAACACAAUAAGCAUUCCGCCUGGGGAGUUCGGCCGCAAGGUUGAAACUCAAAGGAAUUGACGGGG